Molecule: long non-coding RNA, 407 nt
Organism: Oryctolagus cuniculus (rabbit)
Lineage: Eukaryota; Metazoa; Chordata; Mammalia; Lagomorpha; Leporidae
Source: RefSeq, a predicted model, not a curated record
AGCUGGGGUUAUCUGCACUUUUACAGCCCUGUCAUGCAGUAAUGGAGCAGAUAAGCUGCUAGGUGGUGGCCACUUGGACACUCAUUAAAACCUCUGCUGAGAAAGGGAGCAAGGAGAGGGGACAGUCAUGGCAGGAAGAGACCAAGGAGAGAACCAGAAGCUCUCUGCUAUGGCUUGGGAAAUCAGUAGGAGAUGGCCCAAGUCCUUGGGCCCCUGCACCCACGUGGGAGACCGAGAAGAAGCUCCUGGCUCCUGGCUUCAGAUUGGUGCAGCUUUGGCCAUUGCAGCCAGUUGGGGAGUGAACCAGCAGAUGGACGACCUCCCUGUCUGCCUCUCCUUCUCUCUCUGUGCAACUCUGCCUUUCAAAUAAAUAAAUAAAUCUUUACAAAAAGGAUAUGGCAUUAAAA